AUUGAACGCUGGCGGUAUGCUUUACACAUGCAAGUCGAACGGAUUAAAGAGCUUGCUCUUUAGUUAGUGGCGAACGGGUGAGUAAUAUAUCGGAACAUAUCCGGAAGUGGGGGAUAACGUAGCGGAAGUUACGCUAAUACCGCAUAUGCCCUGAGGGGGAAAGGGGGGGAUCGCAAGACCUCUCGCUUUCGGAGUGGCCGAUAUCGGAUUAGCUAGUAGGUGAGGUAAAGGCUCACCUAGGCGACGAUCCGUAGCUGGUCUGAGAGGACGACCAGCCACACUGGAACUGAGACACGGUCCAGACUCCUACGGGAGGCAGCAGUGGGGAAUUUUGGACAAUGGGCGAAAGCCUGAUCCAGCCAUACCGCGUGAGUGAAGAAGGCCUUCGGGUUGUAAACCGCUCUCGGAGGGGAGGAAGUUUCUGUGUCUGUG
This 432-nucleotide ribosomal RNA is filed under the name uncultured bacterium. RNAcentral describes it as "bacterial SSU rRNA". It matches the Rfam family "Bacterial small subunit ribosomal RNA", at positions 30 to 464 of the family's 1533-position model. The record is from RNAcentral.